This 481-nucleotide ribosomal RNA is filed under the name uncultured bacterium. RNAcentral's name for it is "partial 16S ribosomal RNA". It matches the Rfam family "Bacterial small subunit ribosomal RNA", at positions 30 to 507 of the family's 1533-position model. The record is from RNAcentral.
AUUGAACGCUGGCGGCAUGCUUUACACAUGCAAGUCGAACGGUAACAGGCCGCAAGGUGCUGACGAGUGGCGAACGGGUGAGUAAUGCAUCGGAACGUGCCCAGUCGUGGGGGAUAACUACUCGAAAGAGUAGCUAAUACCGCAUACGAUCUAUGGAUGAAAGCGGGGGACCGUAAGGCCUCGCGCGAUUGGAGCGGCCGAUGUCAGAUUAGGUAGUUGGUGGGGUAAAGGCUCACCAAGCCAACGAUCUGUAGCUGGUCUGAGAGGACGACCAGCCACACUGGGACUGAGACACGGCCCAGACUCCUACGGGAGGCAGCAGUGGGGAAUUUUGGACAGUGGCGCAAGCCUGAUCCAGCAAUGCCGCGUGCAGGAAGAAGGCCUUCGGGUUGUAAACUGCUUUUGUACGGAACGAAACGGCUCUGGUUAAUACCCGGGGCUAAUGACGGUACCGUAAGAAUAAGCACCGGCUAACUACGUG